This 497-nucleotide ribosomal RNA is filed under the name uncultured bacterium. RNAcentral describes it as "partial 16S ribosomal RNA". It matches the Rfam family "Bacterial small subunit ribosomal RNA", at positions 28 to 507 of the family's 1533-position model. The record is from RNAcentral.
GAUGAACGCUGGCGGCGUGCCUAAUACAUGCAAGUCGAGCGAACAGACGAGGAGCUUGCUCCUCUGACGUUAGCGGCGGACGGGUGAGUAACACGUAGAUAAUCUACCUAUAAGACUGGGAUAACUUCGGGAAACCGGAGCUAAUACCGGAUAAUAUAUUGAACCGCAUGGUUCAAUAGUGAAAGACGGUUUUGCUGUCACUUAUAGAUGGAUCCGCGCCGCAUUAGCUAGUUGGUAAGGUAACGGCUUACCAAGGCAACGAUGCGUAGCCGACCUGAGAGGGUGAUCGGCCACACUGGAACUGAGACACGGUCCAGACUCCUACGGGAGGCAGCAGUAGGGAAUCUUCCGCAAUGGGCGAAAGCCUGACGGAGCAACGCCGCGUGAGUGAUGAAGGUCUUCGGAUCGUAAAACUCUGUUAUUAGGGAAGAACAAAUGUGUAAGUAACUAUGCACGUCUUGACGGUACCUAAUCAGAAAGCCACGGCUAACUACGUG